Molecule: transfer RNA, 87 nt
Filed under: Methylococcus sp.
Lineage: Bacteria; Pseudomonadati; Pseudomonadota; Gammaproteobacteria; Methylococcales; Methylococcaceae
Also listed under: 2 other names
Description: tRNA-Leu
Rfam family: tRNA
About the family: Transfer RNA (tRNA) molecules are approximately 80 nucleotides in length. Their secondary structure includes four short double-helical elements and three loops (D, anti-codon, and T loops). Further hydrogen bonds mediate the characteristic L-shaped molecular structure. tRNAs have two regions of fundamental functional importance: the anti-codon, which is responsible for specific mRNA codon recognition, and the 3' end, to which the tRNAs corresponding amino acid is attached (by aminoacyl-tRNA synthetases). tRNAs cope with the degeneracy of the genetic code in two manners: having more than one tRNA (with a specific anti-codon) for a particular amino acid; and 'wobble' base-pairing, i.e. permitting non-standard base-pairing at the 3rd anti-codon position.
Source: RNAcentral
GCCGAAGUGGCGAAACUGGUAGACGCGCCAGACUCAAAAUCUGGUUAGGGAAACCUAGUGUCGGUUCGAUUCCGACCUUCGGCACCA